RNAcentral lists this ribosomal RNA (390 nucleotides) under uncultured bacterium. RNAcentral's name for it is "bacterial SSU rRNA". It matches the Rfam family "Bacterial small subunit ribosomal RNA", at positions 28 to 416 of the family's 1533-position model. The record is from RNAcentral.
GACGAACGCUGGCGGCGUGCUUAACACAUGCAAGUCGAACGAUGAAGCUGGAGCUUGCUCCGGUGGAUUAGUGGCGAACGGGUGAGUAACACGUGAGUAAUCUGCCCUUGACUCUGGGAUAACUGCGGGAAACUGUAGCUAAUACCGGAUACGACACCUUCGGGCAUCCGAUGGGUGUGGAAAGAAUUUCGGUCAAGGAUGAACUCGCGGCCUAUCAGCUAGUUGGUGAGGUAAUGGCUCACCAAGGCGACGACGGGUAGCCGGCCUGAGAGGGUGACCGGCCACACUGGGACUGAGACACGGCCCAGACUCCUACGGGAGGCAGCAGUGGGGAAUUUUGGACAAUGGGCGAAAGCCUGAUCCAGCCAUGCCGCGUGAGUGAAGAAGGCC